CUAAAGGCGCUUUUUUGCUAUCUGCGAUACUCAAAGACAGGUUCGAGUUGAGCGCAGCGAAACAACGGAGCCGCUCGCGGCGACGGCCCGUAGGGCGAGCGAAGCGAGUCAUCCUGCACGACCCACCA
This 128-nucleotide small RNA is filed under the name Escherichia coli. RNAcentral describes it as "RtT sRNA". It matches the Rfam family "RtT RNA". Rfam says of the family: This family represents a bacterial cis-regulatory element known as RtT RNA. The exact function of RtT is unknown although it is thought that it may be involved in changing the cellular response in relation to amino acid starvation. The record is from RNAcentral. Lineage: Bacteria; Pseudomonadati; Pseudomonadota; Gammaproteobacteria; Enterobacterales; Enterobacteriaceae.